AGUCGUAACAAGGUUUCCGUAGGUGAACCUGCGGAAGGAUCAUUACAGAAUGAAAGUGCUUAACUGCAUUUUUUUACACAUGUGUUUUUCUUUUUUUUUGAAAACUUUGCUUUGGUGGGCCCAUGGCCUGCCAGAGAUUAAACUCAACCAAAUUUUAUUUAAGUCAACUGAUUAACUAAUAGUCAAAACUUUCAACAACGGAUCUCUUGGUUCUCGCAUCGAUGAAGAACGCAGCGAAAUGCGAUAAGUAAUAUGAAUUGCAGAUAUUCGUGAAUCAUCGAAUCUUUGAACGCACAUUGCGCCCUUUGGUAUUCCAAAGGGCAUGCCUGUUUGAGCGUCAUUUCUCCCUCAAACCUUCGGGUUUGGUGUUGAGCGAUACGCUGGGUUUGCUUGAAAGAAAGGCGGAGUAUAAACUAAUGGAUAGGUUUUUUUCCACUCAUUGGUACAAACUCCAAAAUUCUUCCAAAUUCGACCUCAAAUCAGGUAGGACUACCCGCUGAACCUAAGCAUAUCA
Molecule: unclassified non-coding RNA, 514 nt
Filed under: Lodderomyces orthopsilosis
Lineage: Eukaryota; Fungi; Ascomycota; Pichiomycetes; Serinales; Debaryomycetaceae
Description: Candida orthopsilosis sequence contains 18S rRNA gene, ITS1, 5.8S rRNA gene, ITS2, 28S rRNA gene
Rfam family: 5.8S ribosomal RNA (bases 187-340)
Source: RNAcentral